This 275-nucleotide ribosomal RNA is filed under the name uncultured Streptococcus sp. Its description in RNAcentral is "partial 16S ribosomal RNA". It matches the Rfam family "Bacterial small subunit ribosomal RNA", at positions 338 to 631 of the family's 1533-position model. The record is from RNAcentral. Lineage: Bacteria; Bacillati; Bacillota; Bacilli; Lactobacillales; Streptococcaceae.
CCUACGGGGGGCAGCAGUGGGGAAUAUUGCACAAUGGGCGCAAGCCUGAUGCAGCAACGCCGCGUGAACGAUGAAGGUCUUCGGAUCGUAAAGUUCUGUUGCAGGGGAAGAUAAUGACGGUACCCUGUGAGGAAGCCCCGGCUAACUACGUGCCAGCAGCCGCGGUAAUACGUAGGGGGCUAGCGUUAUCCGGAUUUACUGGGCGUAAAGGGUGCGUAGGUGGUCUUUCAAGUCGGUGGUUAAAGGCUACGGCUCAACCGUAGUUAGCCUCCGAA